Rhopalosiphum maidis (corn leaf aphid) is the source of this 624-nucleotide long non-coding RNA. RefSeq lists it as uncharacterized. The record is from RefSeq and is a predicted model, not a curated record. The transcript is spliced from 2 exons. Lineage: Eukaryota; Metazoa; Arthropoda; Insecta; Hemiptera; Aphididae.
AUUCGAAGCAUUUCAAUCAGUAGAUCAUUCAUUACCGUCCUCGGGAUAAAAUCAAAACUUCAUCAAAUAUAAAUACUGUAAUAACACGGUGCACUGCAGUGUCGCUUAGACGUUCAUCGCAAUAAUAUUAUAUUAUAUUGUUAUAAACUUAUAAACAUACCUAUUAAUAUUUAAUAACGAAUCAUAAUGUCGGCGCAGAACAAAAUGUUGACAUCUCUUUUUAUCGUGCUGUUAAUCACGACAUCCGUCACCCCUACCAGUAUCUUUAUUUCAUCCAUAUGCUACAGCGGUUGCGGAACUAUGGCUGUUGCUUGCUAUGUGAUGACCGGCAUACAAUACAUCAUGGGCGCUUCCGGUUUGACAAGGACUGGAUUGGGUUGCGGAGAAUCGUUCGUUGUGUGCAAGGACAGCUGUAUCCAAUCCUAUAAUAAAUAAUAAUAUAAGUUUUUAAACUACUAUCAGUUUUUCAGAGACGAUAUCUGCUGUUACACUUAGGCUAUUAUACGAGUAUAAGCGCAAUGUGACAAAUAUUAUUAAAAAUAUUAUUAUACACAGGUUAUAGUAAGGCUUUCUAUUUUCAUACAUGUAAUAACAAGUCACGAAAAAACUAAAAAUUUUAUGAUA